Molecule: unclassified non-coding RNA, 150 nt
Filed under: uncultured Leotiomycetes
Lineage: Eukaryota; Fungi; Ascomycota; Leotiomycetes
Description: sequence contains ITS2
Source: RNAcentral
CAACCCUCAAGCUCUGCUUGGUGUUGGGCCACUGCCCGGAAGGGCAGGCCUUAAAAUCAGUGGCGGUGCCAUCUGGCUUCAAGCGUAGUAAUAUCUUUCGCUCAGGAGCUCCAGGUGCGUGCUGGCCAGCAACUCCUUAUAUUUUUCUAA